AGGGCCGAAGAUUUCCAGGUACGUUUCGGCGACGCUCCUCGCGGCCUUCCCGUCGCGCUUCAUGAAGGCCGAGCAGAUCUCGCCGCCCAGGCAGGCGCUGGUGGCGAUCAGGCCGC
This 116-nucleotide unclassified non-coding RNA is filed under the name plant metagenome. Its description in RNAcentral is "partial contains 5.8S ribosomal RNA, internal transcribed spacer 2, and large subunit ribosomal RNA". The record is from RNAcentral.